UGAGGAAUAUUGCACAAUGGGGGAUACCCUGAUGCAGCAACGCUGCGUGGAGGAUGACGGCCUUUGGGUUGUAAACUCCUUUUCUGAGGGAAGAGCAAGGACGGUACCUCAGGAAUAAGGCCCGGCUAACUACGUGCCAGCAGCCGCGGUAAUACGUAGGGGCCAAGCGUUAUCCGGAAUUACUGGGCGUAAAGCGCACGCAGGCGGCACAUCAAGUCUGGUGUGAAAGCUCCCGGCUCAACUGGGAGAGGUCGCUGGAUACUGAUGUGCUUGAGGCAGCGAGAGGGGUGUAGAAUUCCCGGUGUAGUGGUGGAAUGCGUAGAUAUCGGGAGGAAUACCAGUGGCGAAGGCGACACCCUGGCACUGACCUGACGCUCAUGUGCGAAAGCGUGGGGAGCGAACGGGAUUAGAUACCCCCGUAGUCC
This 425-nucleotide ribosomal RNA is filed under the name uncultured prokaryote. Its description in RNAcentral is "bacterial SSU rRNA". It matches the Rfam family "Bacterial small subunit ribosomal RNA", at positions 355 to 796 of the family's 1533-position model. The record is from RNAcentral.